Molecule: long non-coding RNA, 968 nt
Organism: Mus musculus (house mouse)
Lineage: Eukaryota; Metazoa; Chordata; Mammalia; Rodentia; Muridae
Product: predicted gene, 48012
Exons: 2
Source: RefSeq, a predicted model, not a curated record
CUGUCCAUGCUCCUUGGUUAGCAGAGCGAGGACCAUAACCCACCCUCCAUCCUCCAGAGCACACUCACAGAUGCCCCUUUGCAGACCAUCUACAAAAUGGUGUCCUCCGUGAUGAAGAUGCCUGAGGACAAGUCCAUGCCCGAGAAGCGAACAGACAAGAUCUUCAGACAGAUGGACACAAAGAUGGCAAAAUGUCCCUGGAAGAAUUCAACAAAGGUGCCAAGAGCGACCAUCCAUUGUCCGGUUUCUGCAGUGUGAUCCCAGCAGUGCUAGCCAGUUCUGAGGGGAAUGGGCUUUUACACAGUUGUGAGAAACACAGGCUUGACCUGCCAUCUUCAGCUUUGCUUGCAAAAGUGGAUUUCUCCUGCUCUCUCAGGACCUGGGUCCAGACAGCAUAUCACAUUCACCUGGUCUGGCUGGAUGCAGGUCCCUUCUCUGUCUGAUCCAAUAGAUGUCCCUCCCCAUCCAGUCCAGGCUGGUUCCUUCCAAGGUUUCAAGUGUUCUGGGCUGUAGGGCUACUUUCCUGCCCACAGAGGGCCUGGAGACCCUUAAGGACACCACACAGGACAUUUCAGUAUCUUACCGAGACCAGCUGAUUUAUUCUAUGAUCCCAGGUGACUUUGUGAGGAUGAAGAAGAUGGACAGUAGAUAGGCAAGCACUUCCUGUGCAUGGCUUCACCUCCCUUCUUCAUUUUCUCCGACCAAAGCUGCUUGCAUGUAUAUACUGUGGUAUCCUUACUUUCAAUAUAUAAGUUUUGUAUAAAGUGAGAAGGUUCAGCCCCUGUAUUUAAAGCCUCUGACUGCCCUUAAAGCAUGGUCCCUGUGGCCUGUGAUUCCCCCUACCCCCAAAUCUGGCUGUGCUUUGGUAUUUAAGUAUUCAUUUGCCUAAUUACACAGGAGAUACAUGCAUGCCCAAGGCUGUGGACAUCUGCCCUCCGUCCUGCAAACACAGGUGUUCCUGUGUGCUC